Molecule: ribosomal RNA, 482 nt
Filed under: uncultured bacterium
Lineage: Bacteria
Description: partial 16S ribosomal RNA
Rfam family: Bacterial small subunit ribosomal RNA
Source: RNAcentral
AUUGAACGCUGGCGGCAUGCCUUACACAUGCAAGUCGAACGGUAACGGGCCUUCGGGUGCCGACGAGUGGCGAACGGGUGAGUAAUACAUCGGAACGUGCCCGAUCGUGGGGGAUAACGAGGCGAAAGCUUUGCUAAUACCGCAUACGAUCUACGGAUGAAAGCAGGGGACCGCAAGGCCUUGCGCGGACGGAGCGGCCGAUGGCAGAUUAGGUAGUUGGUGGGAUAAAAGCUCACCAAGCCGACGAUCUGUAGCUGGUCUGAGAGGAUGAUCAGCCACACUGGGACUGAGACACGGCCCAGACUCCUACGGGAGGCAGCAGUGGGGAAUUUUGGACAAUGGGCGCAAGCCUGAUCCAGCCAUGCCGAGUGCAGAAUGAAGGCCUUCGGGUUGUAAACUGCUUUUGUACGGAACGAAAAGCCUUCUUUUAAUACAGGAGGGUCAUGACGGUACCGUAAGAAUAAGCACCGGCUAACUACGUG